GACAGAGGGUGCAAACGUUGUUCGGAAUUACUGGGCGUAAAGCGCGUGUAGGCGGCUCGGAAAGUCGGGUGUGAAAGCCCUGGGCUCAACCCAGGAAGUGCAUUCGAAACUGCAGAGCUGGAGUCCUGGAGAGGAAGGCGGAAUUCUCGGUGUAGAGGUGAAAUUCGUAGAUAUCGAGAGGAACACCGGUGGCGAAGGCGGCCUUCUGGACAGUGACUGACGCUGAGACGCGAAAGCGUGGGGAGCAAACAGG
Molecule: ribosomal RNA, 253 nt
Filed under: uncultured bacterium
Lineage: Bacteria
Description: partial 16S ribosomal RNA
Rfam family: Bacterial small subunit ribosomal RNA
Source: RNAcentral